This 465-nucleotide ribosomal RNA is filed under the name uncultured bacterium. RNAcentral's name for it is "partial 16S ribosomal RNA". It matches the Rfam family "Bacterial small subunit ribosomal RNA", at positions 28 to 507 of the family's 1533-position model. The record is from RNAcentral.
GACGAACGCUGGCGGCGUGCUUAACACAUGCAAGUCGUACGGUAAGGCCCUUUCGGGGGUACACGCGUGGCGAACGGGUGAGUAACACGUGAGUAACCUGCCCACAACUUUGGGAUAACGCUAGGAAACUGGUGCUAAUACUGGAUAUGUGCUCCUGCUGCAUGGUGGGGGUUGGAAAGCUCCGGCGGUUGUGGAUGGACUCGCGGCCUAUCAGCUUGUUGGUGGGGUAGUGGCCUACCAAGGCGGCGACGGGUAGCCGGCCUGAGAGGGUGACCGGCCACAUUGGGACUGAGAUACGGCCCAGACUCCUACGGGAGGCAGCAGUGGGGAAGAUUGCACAAUGGGCGCAAGCCUGAUGCAGCAACGCCGCGUGCGGGAUGACGGCCUUCGGGUUGUAAACCGCUUUCAGCAGGGACGAAGCUUUUUGUGACGGUACCUGCAGAAGAAGCACCGGCUAACUACGUG